AUUGAACGCUGGCGGCAUGCCUAACACAUGCAAGUCGAACGGCAGCGCGGGGGCAACCCUGGCGGCGAGUGGCGGACGGGUGAGGAAUGCAUAGGAAUCUGCCCGGGUGUGGGGGAUAACGUAGGGAAACUUACGCUAAUACCGCAUACGACCUUCGGGUGAAAGUGGGGGACCUUCGGGCCUCACGCGAUCGGAUGAGCCUAUGCCCGAUUAGCUAGUUGGCGGGGUAAGAGCCCACCAAGGCGACGAUCGGUAGCUGGUCUGAGAGGAUGAUCAGCCACACUGGGACUGAGACACGGCCCAGACUCCUACGGGAGGCAGCAGUGGGGAAUAUUGGACAAUGGGCGCAAGCCUGAUCCAGCAAUGCCGCGUGUGUGAAGAAGGCCUUCGGGUUGUAAAGCACUUUUGUUCGGGAAGAAAUCCGUGUGGUUAAUACCCGUACGGGAUGACGGUACCGAAAGAAUAAGCACCGGCUAACUUCGUG
This 484-nucleotide ribosomal RNA is filed under the name uncultured bacterium. RNAcentral describes it as "partial 16S ribosomal RNA". It matches the Rfam family "Bacterial small subunit ribosomal RNA", at positions 29 to 507 of the family's 1533-position model. The record is from RNAcentral.